UACGUAGGCAGCAAGCGUUGUUCGGAGUUACUGGGCGUAAAGGGUGUGUAGGCGGUUCUUUAAGUUUGGUGUGAAAUCUCCCGGCUCAACUGGGAGGGUGCGCCGAAUACUGAGGGACUAGAGUACGGGAGAGGAAAGUGGAAUUCCUGGUGUAGCGGUGAAAUGCGUAGAUAUCAGGAGGAACACCGGUGGUGUAGACGGCUUUCUGGACCGUAACUGACGCUGAGACACGAAAGCGUGGGUAGCAAACACG
Molecule: ribosomal RNA, 253 nt
Filed under: uncultured bacterium
Lineage: Bacteria
Description: partial 16S ribosomal RNA
Rfam family: Bacterial small subunit ribosomal RNA
Source: RNAcentral